UAAUACGUAGGGGGCAAGCGUUGUCCGGAGUUACUGGGCGUAAAGCGCACGCAGGCGGUCGCGUAAGAGUGCGGGGACAGUGGGCGGCUUAACUGCCCAAGAGUCGCACAGACUGCGUGACUAGAGGGCCAGAGAGGGACCUGGAAUUCCGGGUGGAGCGGUGAAAUGCGUAGAGAUCCGGAGGAACACCAAUGGCGAAGGCAGGGUCCUGGCUGGCACCUGACGCUGAUGUGCGAAAGCCAGGGGAGCGAACGGGAUUAGAUACCCCGGUAGUCCUGGCCGUAAACGAUGACCACCAGACGUGGGAGGUAUCGACCCCUUCCGUGUCGUAGUUAACACGAUCAGUGGUCCGCCUGGGGAGUACGGUCGCAAGAUUA
RNAcentral lists this ribosomal RNA (377 nucleotides) under uncultured bacterium. RNAcentral describes it as "bacterial SSU rRNA". It matches the Rfam family "Bacterial small subunit ribosomal RNA", at positions 521 to 896 of the family's 1533-position model. The record is from RNAcentral.